GUAGUCUCGCACAGAUGCAUAUCAAUAAGCGGAGGAAAAGAGACUAACAAGGAUUCCCCUAGUAACGGCGAGUGAAGCGGGAAGAGCUCAAAUUUGAAAUCUUAAAGGGUUUCCCUUUACGAAUUGUAGUUUAAAGAAGUGUUUUCUGUUGAGGUUUUGGUAAAAGUUCUUUGGAAUAGGACAUCAUAGAGGGUGAGAAUCCCGUAUUUGACCUUUACUUUCAACUUUGUGAUACACUUUCAAAGAGUCGGAUUGUUUGGGAAUGCAGUCCAAAAUGGGUGGUAAAUUUCAUCUAAAGCUAAAUAUUGGCGAGAGACCGAUAGCGAACAAGUACCGUGAGGGAAAGAUGAAAAGAACUUUUGAAAAGAGAGUUAAACAGUACGUGAAAUUGUCAAAAGGGAAGCGUUUGACACCAGUGUUGUUUUUCUGAAAAUCAAUUAAAGAACUGUUUAUGCUAAGUUGUUUAGACUUUAUCAGCUAACUGUUUAGUUUUGAGCUUUUCCUUAAUGCACUUUUCAGUUAACAAGUCAACAUCAAUUUCUUUUGCUGUAAAAAAGCUCGAGGAAGGUGGCUUGAGAUUCGUCUUAAGUGUUUAUAGCCUCCUUGCCUAUGCAGUCGGAGAGAUUGAGGUCUGCAGCGUAGAUCCUUCGGGGCUAAAUGCAUUUGUGCUAAGUUAUAGCAUUUUAUAGACAACUUGUUGACUAUGAUUUGUCUCGUAGCUUACUCGCUUAUGUUAUUUUACCUACGCUUAGGAUGUUGAUCUGUAGUGCGUGCGCC
This 777-nucleotide ribosomal RNA is filed under the name uncultured Neocallimastigales. Its description in RNAcentral is "partial large subunit ribosomal RNA". It matches the Rfam family "Eukaryotic large subunit ribosomal RNA", at positions 24 to 648 of the family's 3401-position model. The record is from RNAcentral. Lineage: Eukaryota; Fungi; Neocallimastigomycota; Neocallimastigomycetes; Neocallimastigales.